AAGGGAGACCUAAUUCGGGUAGGAGACGAAAAAAAAGUAGUCGCUACCAAGAAUCAAUCCCAGAAGGUCGGAGCGAGGCGAAAUUGGCUUUCAAACUAGGUUCUGGGUUCACACAAGACCUGAAUCAGGAACAAGGGCUAUUAGCUCAGGUGGUUAGAGCGCACCCCUGAUAAGGGUGAGGUCCCUGGUUCGAGUCCAGGAUGGCCCACCUGCACAGGUGGCAAAAACAAGAGAAGCGAGGAAUCAGCACCUGCUCUUACCUACAUAGUAAGAGAGAAUGCUGGCUCUGAGUACAGAGUCCAGAGGAACCUUGAAAACUGCAUAGAGCUAGGUGAAAAAGCCAAAAAAGAAGACCGCAA
This 359-nucleotide transfer RNA is filed under the name uncultured Microcystis sp. Its description in RNAcentral is "partial 16S-23S ribosomal RNA intergenic spacer". The stretch from base 135 to 208 matches the Rfam family "tRNA". The record is from RNAcentral. Lineage: Bacteria; Bacillati; Cyanobacteriota; Cyanophyceae; Chroococcales; Microcystaceae.